This 384-nucleotide ribosomal RNA is filed under the name uncultured Bacteroidales bacterium. Its description in RNAcentral is "bacterial SSU rRNA". It matches the Rfam family "Bacterial small subunit ribosomal RNA", at positions 22 to 405 of the family's 1533-position model. The record is from RNAcentral. Lineage: Bacteria; Pseudomonadati; Bacteroidota; Bacteroidia; Bacteroidales.
GCUCAGGAUGAACGCUAGCUACAGGCUUAACACAUGCAAGUCGAGGGGUAGCAGGGUAGCAAUACCGCUGACGACCGGCGCACGGGUGAGUAACACGUAUCCAACUUUCCCAUAACUCGGGGAUAGCCUUUCGAAAGAAAGAUUAAUACCCGAUAGUACUUUUUUAGGGCAUCUUAGAAAAGUUAAAGAUUUAUUGGUUAUGGAUGGGGAUGCGUUCCAUUAGAUAGUUGGUGAGGUAACGGCUCACCAAGUCUUCGAUGGAUAGGGGUUCUGAGAGGAAGGUCCCCCACAUUGGUACUGAGACACGGACCAAACUCCUACGGGAGGCAGCAGUGAGGAAUAUUGGUCAAUGGGCGAGAGCCUGAACCAGCCAAGUAGCGUGAA